AACUCUUCCACCACAUGGUGGCAAUGUGUAGCUUUCAGGCACUCCUGUUGUCUCUUAGCCAAAGGAGAGCAAUCUGAGCCCUCAGCCCCUUAAUAAGCAGAGGGACAGAUGCAGUGCACAGUCCAGCUAUUGUUUUCCAAAUGCCUCUACGUCGUCCUCUCCAAAAAAGAGAAAAGGCAUCUGUCUGAUCACUGCAGCCCUCUGUGUAAAUAGGGACUGUAAACUCCUCCUGAACGGGCAAAGUUCAGUUUGAUCACACAAACGUGUUGCAAGAGGACGCACCAAUGGUUGCAUACAAUCUAAAACAGCUCUGACUAUAUGAGGUGUUAGCUCGACAUUUAGGUUUUAUGGCCGGUUGGAUGGAAAAACGACCAUUUCCACGAGCUGCUGCCAGGACCGAGGGGGGCUCGAUCUGCCACGUGUGACUGUGGCCUCUUCGUAAAAACCGCCCAACCUCCAUGGAGUUACAGGCCUCAGCCCUCUCCACUAUUCCCCUCUAUCUUUACAAGCAUCUUCAAAGCGGGGGAGGAAACAUCUGCCCUCUCUCACCUCGCUCCACCCCCUCACUUCACAGAGCCACCGAGGGAGGGGGGGAUGAUGAUGGAGACAAAACUCAGGAGAGGAAAAGAAGAGCAGGGAAGUCUACACACAUCAUCUUUUAGUUUAGAGAGAUACAGAACUAUUGAGGUAGGAAAGAGGACAAGAGUGUGUCAGUGACAGAGAGUUAAACUGUUAACACACUAUAUGUGCUCUCUAAUGGAGCCUGAUGUAAACAGAGAGGAGUGCAGAUGACAUUCCUAAGGUAGGAUUUUCACACACACACAUACACACACACACACACACACACACACACACACACAGUUUGUCAUGAUUUCAGAAGCAUCACGUUCAUUUACAUUAGCACAGGAGUACACAUCUGUGCUACAUCUACUCUGGACCACAAAUUGCUUAUGUUGGCCCUUAAGUGGGGGGGACAGAAAGAGGUAGCAGACGGUGGGUGUCAAGGUUGUAUCAGCUAAAGAGAGGAAACAAAGUCAAACAUAUUCAUUUUUCUUCACACUGUAUUACAGUAGUAAUAAUAAUGAAAAACUUUUAUUGCAAUGGAAAAAGACUAAGAGGGACGUCCCUGCUGUAUUAGGUAAGAUACCCAGGUCACUCAGGAAGGAACCAAUGAGGUGAGAGUGUGGAAGUGGUAGGUGGGGGGGGGGGGGGGCUGUUGAGUCGGUUCGCUAUGGUUUCCACCGGGCCAACUCAGAUGCUCUGCGGUGUUGCAGCAGUGGUUUUUCGUUUAUUCACCAGAUUCUGCAGGACAUGUACAUAAAUGCAGACUGAUUGUGAUAUGGUACACACUACAUUCUGUACUGUGUCGGCUGCAGAUCAUAUUACACUUUGCUUUCAAUCUGAUCGCACACUGUUUGAAAAUGGUGCUUAACUGUUACAUUUUUGUCCUGCACAGACUGAAGAAGUUAUCAGUGAACGUGGGGGUUGACUGCUGAUAUUCUCUUGGUCAAAUAGGAAGGAAAAAUAGGCUGCAUGACGCAGAAGAACUAUUUGUAUAGCCUUCUCCAUGAUAUGAAGGAAAAAAAGAACACAAUCUUAAUAUAUCUACAGACAGGAAAAUCUGUGCUAAUCCCAGUCAUGAGGACGUGACCACUCAGGCUGUCCUUGGUUAAAAAAAUGUGAGGGAAGAGAAGGGAAAAUAUAAUCUUCUUUUAAUAUUCUUGAAGCUAAUCUCACUGUUCUUCUCUUGUAAAAAUACUGAAUACUUUCAAGCUAAGACUUAAAAAAAAUGCCUCACUUUAUGACAAUUUUAUACUUUAAUUUACUUCAACUUUGAAAACUGACUAGAGAUUUCAAUUGAACAUAAGUUUUAUUUCACACAAGCCAAAAAGGCAGGUUACCACUGCUCUUAAGAGUUGUUGACUUUCAAUAUUGACUUCCUUAUUUUUGUUUUACAAGCUUUCUUGAAACUGUUGGGAAAUGCUGAUAAACACACAUAAACACGUUCAGACACACACACACACACAUAGAGGUACAGUGUGUGUGAGUUUGACACUUGUCAUCGAGCUUGCAUUUGCACUUUGAGCAUCUAUAUUUUUUUCCACUUCAGCUAUCUCCGUUCUCGGCAGUAAAGUUGUUGCCAGAGACUCUGCUGUCUGACCUCAGAUACAGAACAAAAACUGAGAAAACAAAUGUUUGUCUCGUUGAUUUGUUAAUUUUGUUUCUCUGAUUGUAUUUGUUUCGCAGUCUUUAAAAUAGCACAUUAAAACAGUGCCAGCUUCAUGCCGCUGCAAAGAGGCUUCUGCAGCUGCUGCCUGUUGCGGGGCGUUGUCAAAACAAACCACAUAAUAGGCAUCAAUAAUCGCACAUUUCUACUACCCUGCUCUUUUUCAUUUUGACAUUAUGUCACUGGUGAUUGUGGCUUCAGAAUGAAACUGCUUGAGGUUCGGGGGAAAAAAAAACAACAUCUGUCUAAAAAUACGCAGUAUAAAAGCACAAGACAGAGGGAGACGUGCAGACUGAUCGAAAGCCAAAGACGCAGCCGAUCUGGUACAGCAUGUACAGCACAUCACUUUAUCUCCUCUUUUUGUUCAUCCAAACGUUAUACAAUAUAAGUUUUAACUAAUAAAAAGUAUAUUGGAAAGAAUUGUGUUCACAGAACAACAUUUCCUCCAAAAAAACACGAAAAUGUGAUCAAAUGAAAUAAGCUGUGUCCUUUGCAAUAUCUGCUCUGUGACUAUUAGCGAGCCACCAUCAAUAAUCAUGAAAUAUAAGAACAUGUGAUUUAUAUGCCCAUAAUAGGAAAUGAAACAAGAAAAAGCAUAUCAAAAUUAUUCACACCGAGUGUAUUACUGUACAUUUUCCUCAAGAGCAAGAAUCUGCAAAACCUGCCUCCCAUUAAUGGAGCGGUGGACACAGAUGGUAAUCGAAUAGGUGGGUGAAAAGUGUCAAAAGGAGAUUUACUCAAAUGAACAAGGCAAAGGAGAAGUGAUGAAAGAGAGAGAGAGAGAGAGAGAGAGAGAGAGAGAGAGAGAGAGAGAGAGAGAGAGAGAGAGAGAGAGAGAGAUGAAAUAAAGGAUAUGAGGGGGAGGGAAGAGGAAGUGGCAUCAGAGCACAGCUUGAGAGAAAGGUGUGAAAGCCUUUCACUUUUCAAACUAAACGACAGUCAACCCUCGUCCAGGAACGCACAGUGGAAAAUGAAAUAGUUGACCAGCGCUUGUCUGUCCCUGAGCCUGUUUCCUUAUGGAAAGAUCCUUCUUGUGUGAGUGUGUGUGCCUGCGGCUCUGGGCACUAACAUCUGUAACAUCUGUCAGUAUUAUAAAGCUUUAUUCCACAGCAUUAUAUCAAAGGACUUAAACUUUCCACCGUAUAGUCAUGUGAUGUAACAGCGGAGCAACGGUGACGCACAGCGUGCCAUGACAAUGAAUUACUUUAUCCUACACUGUCACUGACAGUUGGUCUGUAGUUGAUUAAUAUUUCCUUUCCCAGUUACCCCUCAUUUACAGAUCAGGGGAGAGUUUCAGUUUGCUUCAGUUUUAUUUUGCUAAAUCUUAUGUAUUGCUCUGUUUUUACAAGAUCUCUCUUGUAUUAAUGUCUCAUGAUAUAAAUGUUUGAAAAGUCAACAAACAUUAAUAAAUAUUUGAUUCUGCAGAAACAUUCAGUACAAUAUAAAUAUGUGUUGAUCAUGAUGUAAAUGUGUCUUUACUUUACAGGUUAAAAAUCUAUUUUAACUUUUUUAAAUCAAAAUUUUAUCCAGAAUGUCCUCAUCAUUCCCAUCUGUAGUUUCCAUCCACCAGUGGUGGGACGUAACAAGGUACAUUUACUUCAUUACUGUACGUAAGUACAGUUUUCAAGUAUCUGCACUUCUGGGUAAAUUUCACUUUUACUCCGUUGCAUUAGUCAGCAAAUAUCUGUACUUCUUACUCCACAAAAUUUCUAGAUCUCACUGAUCCGAUCAGAGCGGACAGGUAGGAUUAGACCCCGCCUUCUCCAAUGAAAGCAAAGAGUGCCUGCAGCAUCACUGGUGAAGAAACACCUGAAAUGUACUCAAAAGAGGCUGAGACUUAAUAAUAAUGCAGUAGACCGUAAUAAUAAUGCAGUAAAUUUAAAAGCAAUUACUUGCUUACAUUUAUUCAGGUAGAAAAGUUGAUGUGGUACUUUUAUUUUUACUUUGAUACAUUUGAUAUAUAUAAAGACCUAUUCUGAAGUCCCACGAGGUUGUCUUGUCCUUUACCUGGCAUGUUGGUACUAAAACCUGUCUGUUGAUCAAGAAACCCCCCCUUUCAAAAUGUUCUUGUGGACGUUUCAGGUGUAUUUCGUAUGAGUAUGAGCGUGGGAGACAGAGUCGGGAAGACAUGCAGCAAAGACACAAGUCCCAAGCAGAAGGUCAAGUGGUGCCUUGCAGCUUCCUCAAAACUUAAUAUGAUGAAAAACUGCAACAGAGUCAAGUCGGUGCUUAGGAAAACCCCGACAGACAGACGACGAGAGACUGAGGGGAGGAGAAGAGGUCGUAUCAGCAUGAGUUUCUCUACCCGUGUAUGAGAUGACAUCUGAUGCUAGCCCAUCUGCCUGUGGUGGAAAGUGCUGAUGCUGUGUGCAGCGGAUACAGCAGGGUAUGUUGUGCAACUGCUGUGAAGCUCUGCAUCAUUCACUGCAGUUUGCAACAAGAGCAUCUGAGCAUUUCCACCAUCUGCGGUUGAGACCUGUGGUUUUUAGUGCUUCAUAACUGACCUAUGUCUACACUUAGAUCACGUUUGUUAUGUUCACUGUCUUCUUACUCUCAGUUCCCUAACUUCUUUGGUUGAUCGUCCUCCCAUCUGGAUUGCAGUGUCCUCUCUUUCACAGCUGCGGUAUUUCUCUUUUUUUGGGGGGUCAGCCGUGCUGGGAUGUGUCAUCUGACCCUUUUUUAAUGUGCAUGUGGAGCGGUGGUAAGAGCAGCACUCUGUAUUUAAACAGAGUGCCAACUAGUAAUCAGCAUUUUCCAAAACCCAAGUGCAAAUGUGUAAGUGUUUAAGUGCUCUCACUCCCGCUGCAGGCCAGGCUAUGUGGCUCACUAUACCUGCAGUAGUAACGGAAUGUUAUGUAUAACAGAAGGCAGUAUAUCAUUGACCCGCUGCAUUAGUCUUCUUGGUUUUCACAUGUGACAUUAAAAGAGGAAUGUUCAUAAUUAACACAUCAAUUGUAAUAUUUAUGCACCUUAUAUCAACUGACCCCUGCAUUUUUUUCUUCUAUGAAGGAACUUUUGACUUAAGAAAAGUGCUCUAUGUCAUAUUUGAAUCACAGCGGCUCCGUUCUGCUCUUCACUGGAUUUGGGAAGUGACACGUCAGUUACCCAAGAUAUCGUUUCGUUAACAUUGUCAUUUAGUCCUUAAAAGUCCUUUCUUCUGCAAUGUAAAACCAGGUUAUGUGGAAAUAUGAGUGUGUAAUGUUGAGCUAUUUAAGCCUUUGUUACCUGAAGCCCCAUUCAUUUUUUUCCUGACGUGAGACACAAUUGGAGAAUUUAUGGAGGUUGGACCAACAUUAAACUCACCUGGUUCAAGUCCAAAGAAAAUUCGAAGGGCCAAGCUUGAACACAAAGCACACUGAUCAUCAAAACCUCUGGAACCUUUCCAAGUUGACAUAUUCAUCUGCGUCAUCUACGUGCUUUGUUCCUCUUUUCCCUCCUUUGAUAUAUGUAAUCAUUUCGGCUUUUUCACACUUGCAUAUGAACGUGUUUGAAACAUGGGCGGGGAGGAAAAUCUCCAGGGCAGUUGACUCAGCCAUUUGUGCAUUCUCACACACGGCCCUUCUGCAUAAUUUCAAGAGACUAUACAGAGUCUAUUGCAUGUCUGAAAGCAGUUAUAGAUACUAAUACCUUUUGUAAACAGCUUCAUUCAAAAAUCUGAUAUUUUGAUUCUUUCAUUCUUGAGGUGCAGUCAGGGGAAGUCAGGGGAAGUUUCUAACCUUUCAUUAUGUCCGACUUAACUCUCAGAUAACGGUCAUCCGUUGGUUACCCUGUCUGUUGGUCAGUCACUAAAGCUGAGUGUAGACACAAUGGAUGACAGCGGGGCAGUAUUAACGUCUUAUGAAAUGUCAGCCAGAAACAUGUCAUGGAUAUGAAUGCGUGUUAGAGACGUCAUUAAUGCGCCCACUCACACAUACAGCCCCUCCGGAUAACUUCAGGAGAAUAUCCGGGGCGAGUGCUUGUCUGAAAUCAAACUGAAUUGAAGUUUGACAGACGUAUCAACAGCUAAUGAG
Molecule: long non-coding RNA, 6237 nt
Organism: Pleuronectes platessa (European plaice)
Lineage: Eukaryota; Metazoa; Chordata; Actinopteri; Pleuronectiformes; Pleuronectidae
Exons: 3
Source: RefSeq, a predicted model, not a curated record